CUACGUAGGGGGCGAGCGUUGUCCGGAAUGAUUGGGCGUAAAGGGCGCGUAGGCGGCCCGGUAAGUCUGGAGUGAAAGUCCUGUUUUUAAGAUGGGAAUUGCUUUGGAUACUGUCGGGCUUGAGUGCAGGAGAGGUAAGUGGAAUUCCCAGUGUAGCGGUGAAAUGCGUAGAGAUUGGGAGGAACACCAGUGGCGAAGGCGACUGUCUGGACUGUAACUGACGCUGAGGCGCGAAAGUGUGGGGAGCAAACAGGAUUAGAUACCCUGGUAGUCCACACUGUAAACGAUGAAUGCUAGGUGUAGGGGGUAUCGACCCCUUCUGUGCCGCAGUCAACACAAUAAGCAUUCCGCCUGGGGAGUACGGCCGCAAGGUUGAAACUCAAAGGAAUUGACGGGG
Molecule: ribosomal RNA, 397 nt
Filed under: uncultured bacterium
Lineage: Bacteria
Description: partial 16S ribosomal RNA
Rfam family: Bacterial small subunit ribosomal RNA
Source: RNAcentral